This 67-nucleotide transfer RNA is filed under the name Euphausia superba (Antarctic krill). RNAcentral's name for it is "tRNA-Arg". Lineage: Eukaryota; Metazoa; Arthropoda; Malacostraca; Euphausiacea; Euphausiidae. The record is from RNAcentral.
AAGUAGGAAGCGAAAGAUUGCACUCUGUUUCGACCAGAAUUUUGGUAAAUCAUACUACCCCUACUUA